RNAcentral lists this ribosomal RNA (253 nucleotides) under uncultured bacterium. RNAcentral's name for it is "partial 16S ribosomal RNA". It matches the Rfam family "Bacterial small subunit ribosomal RNA", at positions 524 to 776 of the family's 1533-position model. The record is from RNAcentral.
GACGAACCGUGCGAACGUUGUUCGGAAUCACUGGGCUUAAAGGGCGCGUAGGCGGGCCGGCAAGUCCGGGGUGAAAGCCCCCAGCUCAACUGGGGAAGCGCCUUGGAUACUGCCGGCCUGGAGGGAGGUAGGGGCGUGCGGAACUUCCGGUGGAGCGGUGAAAUGCGUAGAUAUCGGAAAGAACAUCAGUGGCGAAGGCGGCUUUCUGGACUCAUACUGACGCUGAGGCACGAAAGCGUGGGGAGCAAACAGG